AUAAUGUUUUACUUGUGGAAAGCAUCUUUUAACUUAUUUAAUAACGUUUAUGAACAUGCUAAUAAAAUAACGAGGGAGAAACCAAUUGAAUUGAAUUCUACGCUGAUUAUAGAACUUGCAAAAAAAAGGACUCUUUCUCCUGGAAUAAAGAACUACAACAUUAACCGUUGAAAAUAAAACAGUAAAAAAAAAAACGGUGUAACAAAAAGGCCAAGCGCCGGUAAACUGCAAACAUUACACGUCUUGGGAUAGACGUGACAUUCAUAGCUUAAAUUUGCCAUUAUAGCAAGUUAUUUUAAAGUAAAAUAAAUAGUUAUACAACUCUGACAAUGCUAUCAAUCCGUCUGCUAUCAGCCCUUGUUUUUUUAUUUACCGUUUCGCUUAACUAUAGUUCCGCUUUCGAUUCCCCUACAUUGCUAAGCAGUCCUGUACUAAAAGUGCUUAGUCUUUAUUACGGCAAAAAUAGAAAGGGUAAAUGCGUCCGUUUUUACAUCCCCAAAAACGUGGCAAGAAGAGACAUGAGUUCUCCUGCAUUAAUUCGCUACCGAAACAGAGUACCCUGCGUACCGGAUAUAAAUUUACAUUCUGGCGUGAGUCCACAAGAACAGUACGAAAAAAUGUUGAUCCAAGUUAAGAAAGAAGAAAACCAGCCAGGCAAAAAAAAGAGGAGAAGAGAAAGAAACCGUAUUAAACAUGAAAACGCUAAAAGGAAAGACAGGGAAUGGGUUCGACAAAGAGAAAUUGAAGCUGAGAAAAUAAAAAAAGAAGCCGAAAGAGACUUGCUGAUAACAAUUUCUGAAGAAAAAAGAAAAGCGGACGAGAGACUACGUGAAGAAAUGGAAAGCGUGUAUCGGAAUAGAACGCUCUAACUAUUUUAAACAUUCUUCAGUGGAGGAAGACAAAAAGAAAAAAAAAAAAAGGAAAGAUCCUGAAGAUAUCAUAUGAAAAAAAAAAUCCCAAUGAAGCACACAAUACCAGCGCUGCAGAAAAAAAUUAGUAUCUGCG
This is an RNA transcript of Hylaeus volcanicus, 1005 nucleotides long. RefSeq lists it as uncharacterized. Lineage: Eukaryota; Metazoa; Arthropoda; Insecta; Hymenoptera; Colletidae. The transcript is spliced from 9 exons. The record is from RefSeq and is a predicted model, not a curated record.